Molecule: non-coding RNA, 306 nt
Organism: Microcebus murinus (gray mouse lemur)
Lineage: Eukaryota; Metazoa; Chordata; Mammalia; Primates; Cheirogaleidae
Source: RefSeq, a predicted model, not a curated record
CGCCUGCGCACGGGAACCGGCCUGCAGCGUGGUGCCGCAGCGGCGGGAGCGGGAGCCCCGAGGGGUGCGGGGGCGGGCGCAUCCCGGUGCCCGCUGCAGGAGGACACGGCCUCAGGGGCCCGGCUCCUCUUCAGCAGAUGGAAGAGCUCACAGGACCGGGGCUGCCUGUCUUGUUGCGGGACUGAGAAUAAAAGGCGGUCACUCUGCAGAACUACUGCCUGAACUUUACUGUAUCAGAGCUGGACACCAGGGUUCAUGCAGGAGCACUUGUAGAGAUGGGGUCUCGCUCUUGCUCAGGCUGGCCUC